GGGAGUGAAAUAGAACCUGAAACCCUGCACUUACAAGCUGUGGAAGCACAUUUCUUGUGUGACCGCGUACUUUUUGUAGAACGGGCCAACGAGUUACGGUAAGUAGCAAGGUUAAGCACUUAAGGUGUGGAGCCGUAGCGAAAGCGAGUUUUAACUGAGCGUUCAGUUACUUGACGUAGACCCGAAACCGGGCGACCUACCCAUGAGCAGGAUGAAGCGAAAGUAA
RNAcentral lists this ribosomal RNA (226 nucleotides) under Clostridioides difficile. RNAcentral describes it as "partial 23S ribosomal RNA". It matches the Rfam family "Bacterial large subunit ribosomal RNA", at positions 534 to 759 of the family's 2925-position model. Lineage: Bacteria; Bacillati; Bacillota; Clostridia; Peptostreptococcales; Peptostreptococcaceae. The record is from RNAcentral.